AACGAACGCUGGCGGCAGGCUUAACACAUGCAAGUCGAACGCACCUUCGGGUGAGUGGCAGACGGGUGAGUAACGCGUGGGAACGUGCCUUUCGGUCUGGAAUAACCCAGGGAAACUUGGGCUAAUACCGGAUACGCCCUCCGGGGGAAAGAUUUAUCGCCGAAAGAUCGGCCCGCGUCGGAUUAGCUUGUUGGUGGGGUAAUGGCCUACCAAGGCAACGAUCCGUAGCUGGUCUGAGAGGAUGAUCAGCCACACUGGGACUGAGACACGGCCCAGACUCCUACGGGAGGCAGCAGUGGGGAAUAUUGGACAAUGGGCGAAAGCCUGAUCCAGCCAUGCCGCGUGAGUGAAGAAGGCCUUAGGGUUGUAAAGCUCUUUCAGCGGGGAAGAUAAUGACGGUACCCGCAGAAGAAGCCCCGGCUAACUCCGUG
Molecule: ribosomal RNA, 431 nt
Filed under: uncultured bacterium
Lineage: Bacteria
Description: bacterial SSU rRNA
Rfam family: Bacterial small subunit ribosomal RNA
Source: RNAcentral